GACGAACGCUGGCGGCGUGCUUAACACAUGCAAGUCGAACGGUGAAGGGGUCUGCUUUUGUGGGCCCUGGAUGAGUGGCGAACGGGUGGGUAACACGUGAGUAACCUGCCCCCUUCUUCUGGAUAACCGCAUGAAAGUGUGGCUAAUACGGGAUAUUCUGGGUCUGUCGCAUGAUGGGUCUGGGAAAGAUUGCGCCUUUGGGUGUUUUUGGUGGGGGAUGGGCUCGCGGCCUAUCAGCUUGUUGGUGGGGUGAUGGCCUACCAAGGCGGUGACGGGUAGCCGGCCUGAGAGGGUGGACGGUCACACUGGGACUGAGACACGGCCCAGACUCCUACGGGAGGCAGCAGUGGGGAAUAUUGCACAAUGGGCGCAAGCCUGAUGCAGCGACGCCGCGUGAGGGAUGGAGGCCUUCGGGUUGUAAACCUCUUUCGCCAGUGAAGCAGGCCUGCUCCUUGUGGGUGGGUUGACGGUAGCUGGAUAAGAAGCGCCGGCUAACUACGUG
RNAcentral lists this ribosomal RNA (502 nucleotides) under uncultured bacterium. RNAcentral describes it as "partial 16S ribosomal RNA". It matches the Rfam family "Bacterial small subunit ribosomal RNA", at positions 28 to 507 of the family's 1533-position model. The record is from RNAcentral.